RNAcentral lists this ribosomal RNA (232 nucleotides) under Escherichia coli. RNAcentral's name for it is "partial 16S ribosomal RNA". It matches the Rfam family "Bacterial small subunit ribosomal RNA", at positions 1077 to 1308 of the family's 1533-position model. The record is from RNAcentral. Lineage: Bacteria; Pseudomonadati; Pseudomonadota; Gammaproteobacteria; Enterobacterales; Enterobacteriaceae.
GGGUCAAGUCCCGCAACGAGCGCAACCCUUGUGGCAUGUUGCUAACAGGAAAAGCUGAGGACUCAUGCCAGACUGCCGGUGACAAACCGGAGGAAGGCGGGGAUGACGUCAAAUCAUCAUGCCCCUUAUGGCCUGGGCUACACACGUACUACAAUGGCGGCUACAAAGAGCAGCGAGACAGGGAUGUCGAGCGAAUCUCAUAAAAGCCGUCCCAGUUCGGAUUGGAGGCUGC